GACGAACGCUGGCGGCGCGCCUAACACAUGCAAGUCGAACGGAGAUACCUGUUAGAUCCCUUCGGGGUGACGAUGGACUAUCUUAGUGGCGGACGGGUGAGUAACACGUGAGCAACCUGCCUUACAGAGCGGGAUAACGUUUGGAAACGAACGCUAAUACCGCAUAACAUUAACUUAUCGCAUGGUAAGAUAAUCAAAGAAAUUCGCUGUAAGAUGGGCUCGCGUCUGAUUAGAUAGUUGGUGAGGUAACGGCUCACCAAGUCGACGAUCAGUAGCCGGACUGAGAGGUUGAACGGCCACAUUGGGACUGAGACACGGCCCAGACUCCUACGGGAGGCAGCAGUGGGGAAUAUUGCACAAUGGGGGAAACCCUGAUGCAGCGACGCCGCGUGAGGGAAGAAGGUUUUCGGAUUGUAAACCUCUGUCUUCAGGGACGAUAGUGACGGUAC
Molecule: ribosomal RNA, 449 nt
Filed under: uncultured bacterium
Lineage: Bacteria
Description: bacterial SSU rRNA
Rfam family: Bacterial small subunit ribosomal RNA
Source: RNAcentral